ACAGGUCCUCAUUUCCCUCUCCUAAUGAUGCCCCAAAACAUUAAGGGAAGUUAAAUCAAACCACCAGGUGUCCAGCAUGAACAGCUGAAAUAAUAAAUUCACGAGGUUUGAAUCCAAAUAACUGAUGAUUUGUUCCAUGAAUGCCAGAGCUGGAAGGGAUGGGGUUGGCAGAAGAGACAAGACUGGACCAUGGACCUGGUGGUUCUGUGCAGAGGCCAAAGCUACUCUCCUUCCCACCUGGCCCUGUGCUGGGCCUAACCUGGAGCCCCCUCUAUCCUCUGCCUCAUUCUUCUCCGGGUCAAGGUCCAGCAUGAACUCCAUGUCCUCCAGGAAGCCCUGGUGGACUUGGGCAGACCUGGGGACACGUCCAGCCUCCUGGCAAGAUGGGGGUAACAGGAGUGUGUAUAAAGGGGAAGG
Molecule: long non-coding RNA, 417 nt
Filed under: Homo sapiens (human)
Lineage: Eukaryota; Metazoa; Chordata; Mammalia; Primates; Hominidae
Description: HSALNT0258082
Source: RNAcentral